UGCGGGGUGGAGCAGUCUGGUAGCUCGUUGGGCUCAUAACCCAAAGGUCGUCAGUUCAAAUCUGACCCCCGCUACCA
RNAcentral lists this transfer RNA (77 nucleotides) under Candidatus Omnitrophota bacterium. RNAcentral's name for it is "tRNA-Met". It matches the Rfam family "tRNA". Rfam says of the family: Transfer RNA (tRNA) molecules are approximately 80 nucleotides in length. Their secondary structure includes four short double-helical elements and three loops (D, anti-codon, and T loops). Lineage: Bacteria; Pseudomonadati; Candidatus Omnitrophota. The record is from RNAcentral.